Molecule: ribosomal RNA, 497 nt
Filed under: uncultured bacterium
Lineage: Bacteria
Description: partial 16S ribosomal RNA
Rfam family: Bacterial small subunit ribosomal RNA
Source: RNAcentral
GAUGAACGCUGGCGGCGUGCCUAAUACAUGCAAGUCGAGCGAACAGACGAGGAGCUUGCUCCUCUGACGUUAGCGGCGGACGGGUGAGUAACACGUGGAUAACCUACCUAUAAGACUGGGAUAACUUCGGGAAACCGGAGCUAAUACCGGAUAAUAUAUUGAACCGCAUGGUUCAAUAGUGAAAGACGGUUUUGCUGUCACUUAUUGAUGGAUCCGCGCCGCAUUAGCUAGUUGGUAAGGUAACGGCUUACCAAGGCGACGAUGCGUAGCCGACCUGAGAGGGUGAUCGGCCACACUGGAACUGAGACACGGUCCAGACUCCUACGGGAGGCAGCAGUAGGGAAUCUUCCGCAAUGGGCGAAAGCCUGACGGAGCAACGCCGCGUGAGUGAUGAAGGUCUUCGGAUCGUAAAACUCUGUUAUUAGGGAAGAACAAAUGUGUAAGUAACUAUGCACGUCUUGACGAUACCUAAUCAGAAAGCCACGGCUAACUACGUG